Molecule: non-coding RNA, 104 nt
Organism: Dipodomys ordii (Ord's kangaroo rat)
Lineage: Eukaryota; Metazoa; Chordata; Mammalia; Rodentia; Heteromyidae
Source: Rfam
ACCUCUUUCUGGUUCAUAAAUGUGAUGAUUGGGUUCUCAUGUGCUUGUAUGAUAUAUGCCUCCCUCAAACCUCAUUACCACAUGAACACAAUACCUGUCUGGUG